GAAAAUAAAUAUUAUGCUUUUAUAAAGUGCUAUGUUUAAUGUAAUGUGUUGCAAGCUAUUUUGUAUUCAAGUAUUGAUGUAGUUGACAAGGGGAGACCAUGUCUUGCAAUAAAUCGUAACAAUACUUGAUUGUUAGUCAUGUGUAGAUUACAUCAUACUUAUAUACAUGUCGAGUACAACUACUUUUUACAUGACUUGGAUGCACAAUUAUCAUGUUCAUGAUGUUUCAUAAUGCUCAUUACAAGAAAAAAAUCGCUUUUAGUUUAAAAAAAAAAUUGAAGUGGGGGAAAUAUUUUUGUGUGGUUUUGAUGAAAUUCAUUGUCAAAGGGGGAG
This 333-nucleotide long non-coding RNA is filed under the name Brachypodium distachyon (stiff brome). RNAcentral describes it as "long non-coding RNA (BDIS_LNC001181)". Lineage: Eukaryota; Viridiplantae; Streptophyta; Magnoliopsida; Poales; Poaceae. The record is from RNAcentral.